CACGUAGGGCGCAAGCGUUGUCCGGAAUUAUUGGGCGUAAAGAGCUCGUAGGCGGUCUGUUGCGUCCGCUGUGAAAACUCGGGGCUUAACCCCGAGCCUGCAGUGGAUACGGGCAGACUAGAGGUAGGUAGGGGAGAAUGGAAUUCCCGGUGUAGCGGUGAAAUGCGCAGAUAUCGGGAGGAACACCGGUGGCGAAGGCGGUUCUCUGGGCCUUACCUGACGCUGAGGCGCGAAAGCUAGGGGAGCGAACGGG
Molecule: ribosomal RNA, 253 nt
Filed under: uncultured bacterium
Lineage: Bacteria
Description: partial 16S ribosomal RNA
Rfam family: Bacterial small subunit ribosomal RNA
Source: RNAcentral